Molecule: long non-coding RNA, 1331 nt
Organism: Empidonax traillii (willow flycatcher)
Lineage: Eukaryota; Metazoa; Chordata; Aves; Passeriformes; Tyrannidae
Exons: 3
Source: RefSeq, a predicted model, not a curated record
UAACAGAGUCACUACCGUCCUUACCCACAGCAGCAGGGUAGUCAGCCACAGUGCCAAGCUGACUGAGCAGCUUCUUGAGCAAUAACAAAGGCAACACAUGAGCCUCCAAGUGCUGCAGACAAACUACAGUGCCUCAGCUCACACCUAAAAGAACACAUUGUUCAAGUUUUCAUGCAAAUACUGCUUACUCUGAAGUCCACGACAGAAGAGCAAACUGAGCAGGACUGGAGUCUUCACAGGGAAAUUGCAGUUUCCCCAGCAAGGGCAGACUCUGAAGAGGAGGCUUAUUUUUCUUUAUGUCGUAAUGGCAAGGGAAGAAAAAGCAAGGAAGAAAAGACUCUAAUUGCAGCCUUCCACCAAUGCAGUCGCCAUCUGGUAACUCAAGAGACACAUGGAGCUGAAUUAUCUUAAUUAACGUGUUACAACAGUAUUUAAAAAAACUCUAUGCUUAUUAACACUCAGCUGUGAUUAGCCAACCAUGGAGGAAGCCUGCUAGUGCAACAUUAAUUAUGGGUCUUGUCUGUCUAUUAGAAAUAUGAUUUUUUCCCCAGUAGUUUAUCUCUCUCCUAAAAAGAAAACCAUUAGCAUCAAAACUUGCUCUAAAAUGCAAAUUAUAUUUACAUUUUAUAAGAGUCAAAAUGUUUAGGCUAUAUGUAGCUGCCACUGGGGCUUCUACAGUGCUACAGAUUGUCUGGAUAUAAAAUGUACUUCUCUCUGCCCCUUAGAAAGUCUUGCUUCAGUUAGGCAACUCCCACUCCCACCGAAAUUUUAGCAGAAAAAUACAUUUUACACCUUUCUUUCCCCCUCCAAAACAGGACAGACUUUGCUGUAUGCUAGGCAGUUGAAAAACCAAGACACAAAUUCCAGUUCUAACAAAAACCACAAGUGCGAAAGGAAGGUUUCUGCGAUGGAAAGCAGCAACCAAAACACAACUGCACUCCAGCAGCAGAUCUGUCUCCCCAGAAGAAUGCUACUCACUAUGACAACUGUAUUAUUUUCCCUGCAACAGGCCCACCUGUAAUGUGCUCCCCUCAGAUACAUUCCCAAAUGAUUCAGUCUGACAGGCCCUGAGACUAACAUUGCCAAGUUUUUCAGACUUGGUUCUGUGUUAUGUUUGUACAGGGCUGGCUGCAGCAGGGCUCUCAUCCACACCAGGCAUCCUGAACAUCAGCACACUACCAAAUUAUAAGACAAAAACCUAGUGGUUUUAAACAAAGCCAGGAUUGAUAAAUUAAUUCCAGAAACAUUAACAAGGAGGAGGAAACAAACCAGGAACAACUGCAGAAGUACUUUUAAGAUCUUCUGAUGAAGUAAUCUUAUUACUGCACAUA